UCUAAGCGGGAAGCCUCAUCCAAGAUAAAUCUACCCACAGGGUUAACCUGGUAAGGCCCGUGGCAGAACACCACGUUGAUAGGCCGGAAGUGUAAGCGUAGUAAUACGUUCAGCUGACCGGUACUAAUCGGCCGAGGGCUUGGGUCU
This 147-nucleotide ribosomal RNA is filed under the name Microthrixaceae bacterium. Its description in RNAcentral is "partial 23S ribosomal RNA". It matches the Rfam family "Bacterial large subunit ribosomal RNA", at positions 2780 to 2925 of the family's 2925-position model. Lineage: Bacteria; Bacillati; Actinomycetota; Acidimicrobiia; Acidimicrobiales; Microthrixaceae. The record is from RNAcentral.